Molecule: ribosomal RNA, 427 nt
Filed under: uncultured bacterium
Lineage: Bacteria
Description: partial 16S ribosomal RNA
Rfam family: Bacterial small subunit ribosomal RNA
Source: RNAcentral
UGGGGAAUAUUGGACAAUGGGCGAAAGCCUGAUCCAGCCAUGCCGCGUGUGUGAAGAAAGUCUUCGGAUUGUAAAGCACUUUAAGUUGGGAGGAAGGGCAUUAACCUAAUACGUUAGUGUUUUGACGUUACCGACAGAAUAAGCACCGGCUAACUCUGUGCCAGCAGCCGCGGUAAUACAGAGGGUGCAAGCGUUAAUCGGAAUUACUGAGCGUAAAGCGCGCGUAGGUGGUUUGUUAAGUUGGAUGUGAAAUCCCCGGGCUCAACCUGGGAACUGCAUUCAAAACUGACUGACUAGAGUAUGGUAGAGGGUGGUGGAAUUUCCUGUGUAGCGGUGAAAUGCGUAGAUAUAGGAAGGAACACCAGUGGCGAAGGCGACCACCUGGACUGAUACUGACACUGAGGUGCGAAAGCGUGGGGAGCAAACA